RNAcentral lists this unclassified non-coding RNA (240 nucleotides) under soil metagenome. RNAcentral's name for it is "partial contains 5.8S ribosomal RNA, internal transcribed spacer 2, and large subunit ribosomal RNA". The record is from RNAcentral.
AACCUUAUGGACCUGCGGGCGUAUACCUGCGGAAGGAUCAUUAAUGAGUGUAACCUACCCCUUAAAAAAGGGUAGUACCUCCCGUCCUUUGCAAGGCCCUUUUUAUGGGGGCUUUAUUUUUAAAGACUUUCUGCUUCGGCGAGGUUAUUCCCGCCGGAACACCCUCAAAACACUCUUAAAAAAACAGUUCAGUCCGAGAAUUUUUUGAAAAUAUAAAAAAAACUUUCAACAAUGGAUCUC